GCGGACUUAACUCAAUGGCAGAGCACCUUUCAUUUACUUAGGGGUUGCAGGUUUGAGUCUUGUAGUCCACA
Puccinia sorghi is the source of this 71-nucleotide non-coding RNA. The record is from the annotation of a GenBank genome assembly. NCBI's taxonomy places the organism in Eukaryota, Fungi, Basidiomycota, Pucciniomycetes, Pucciniales, Pucciniaceae.